Molecule: ribosomal RNA, 666 nt
Filed under: Escherichia coli
Lineage: Bacteria; Pseudomonadati; Pseudomonadota; Gammaproteobacteria; Enterobacterales; Enterobacteriaceae
Description: partial 23S ribosomal RNA
Rfam family: Bacterial large subunit ribosomal RNA
Source: RNAcentral
CGUUGUUGGGUAGGGGAGCGUUCUGUAAGCCUGUGAAGGUGUACUGUGAGGUAUGCUGGAGGUAUCAGAAGUGCGAAUGCUGACAUAAGUAACGAUAAAGCGGGUGAAAAGCCCGCUCGCCGGAAGACCAAGGGUUCCUGUCCAACGUUAAUCGGGGCAGGGUGAGUCGACCCCUAAGGCGAGGCCGAAAGGCGUAGUCGAUGGAAAACAGGUUAAUAUUCCUGUACUUGGUGUUACUGCGAAGGGGGGACGGAGAAGGCUAUGUUGGCCGGGCGACGGUUGUCCCGGUUUAAGCGUGUAGGCUGGUUUUCCAGGCAAAUCCGGAAAAUCAAGGCUGAGGCGUGAUGACGAGGCACUACGGUGCUGAAGCAACAAAUGCCCUGCUUCCAGGAAAAGCCUCUAAGCAUCAGGUAACAUCAAAUCGUACCCCAAACCGACACAGGUGGUCAGGUAGAGAAUACCAAGGCGCUUGAGAGAACUCGGGUGAAGGAACUAGGCAAAAUGGUGCCGUAACUUCGGGAGAAGGCACGCUGAUAUGUAGGUGAAGCGACUUGCUCGUGGAGCUGAAAUCAGUCGAAGAUACCAGCUGGCUGCAACUGUUUAUUAAAAACACAGCACUGUGCAAACACGAAAGUGGACGUAUACGGUGUGACGCCUGCCCGGUGC